GUUGUUUAGCAGGUGAAGAGAUGAGACGGGAGGAAAGUAACGAGGGGAGGAAGGAUUUCAUCAAUUUAGAUCAGGCCUCAAGGCAAGCUCUACAAAACAAACUCAACUUCUACAAGAAUAAUGCAAUUACGCAAUCAGUCCAGAUUUCUGAGCUAGAGCCCCCGGCCGGAGCCACCAGAUGACACCGCCCCCACCCCCCAGGGGAUCGUCUAGGCUGGAAUCAUCCGACAGUUCGGUCGUUCACAGAAGUCGUCAUCCCUGAUGUCUAGAGAUCACCUUGAUCAACUUGCAUCUUCACUGAAAUUCAAAGAAUCAGGAUAGGUCUUCUAGUUUCCUCUUCUCCCAGAUUCGAGGCAGUUCUUCCAAUCACACCCGCUGGGCUUCCAAUCAUACUUACUCCUCUGCAGUGAUGCAGGACUACUCUUAUGGUCAUUAAGAAAUUUAUCCAUGAGAGAUUCUAGACUUACUUCUGGUCCAUCUCUUAAGCCUCGUAACAUAACUUUUGUUUGUAGGAUUGUUUCUUUGUGUGUUUGAAGAGGAUUCAUUUAAUUUGGUCACCUAAUUCAACGAUAAAGAAUUUAUAUGUUCAUAUUCUAAACACUUGUGAGCAAGAUAUUUAUUAAAUGAUGUUCAUAUGCAACUCAUUCAGUUAGAUUUCUUUUUCUUUUUCAGGCCAAUUAUGUAACUGAAGUUCAGAGAUUAAUGUAAAUAGCAAAGUUUUUAGUUGUACAUGUUAAUUAUUUGUUGGAGGGAUAUAGUUCAACCUUUUCUAACUAUGCAUUACCUGUAUAUUUUGUUUACUUUGUGACUUCCAUGAUAGUUUAGCCAAAUGCUGUUUGACUUUCAUUAUUCAUAAAUGAUGUAGAGAA
Molecule: long non-coding RNA, 869 nt
Organism: Strongylocentrotus purpuratus (purple sea urchin)
Lineage: Eukaryota; Metazoa; Echinodermata; Echinoidea; Camarodonta; Strongylocentrotidae
Exons: 3
Source: RefSeq, a predicted model, not a curated record